This is a long non-coding RNA of Cotesia glomerata, 684 nucleotides long. RefSeq lists it as uncharacterized. The record is from RefSeq and is a predicted model, not a curated record. The transcript has 2 exons. Lineage: Eukaryota; Metazoa; Arthropoda; Insecta; Hymenoptera; Braconidae.
UAAAUCACAAAAUCUAAAAAAAAAAAAAAAAAAGUGUUAAUGAAAAUAAAACUAUUGAUAUUUUUUAACGAAAAUCUUUACUCAAAAAAAUCUAAAGUUCCUGCUUGGAGACGGUAACGUCGGAAAUCAAAAAGAAGAGAAGGUAGUUGUUGAUGCAGAAAAAUAUUUUUAAUCAAAUUGUGAUGGUGAAAAUAUUUGGACUCAAGUUUUUCAAUGUUUUUUAAAAAUUUAUCUCGAUAAAUUGUAUGACCAUCAAAUUUGAAGCCCGGUUCUUCUAAUGAGGUGGCAUUUAAAUAACUUGUGAUACUUUUUACGUAAUCUCCGAGGUAUAAGAAAACUAAUAUUAUGUUCCCAGGUCUAUAAGCAAUAAAAAAUAGAUAAGUUAAGUAAUUUUUUGAUUAAAAAAUUUUUAACACAGACUUAUAAAUGAUUUAGUACAGGAAGUAAUCCAAUGACAGGAAGAUUGUGUGCAAAAUUAUGAAAUUUUUCUACAAUAAAUUGUUCCUUAGGGAUUAAAUGAUACUGAUGCUGAGUUUGAUACUUGUGAAUAUUGUUUUCUAAUUUAAUUUUUGUAUUGAUCGCUCUAAUUUCCAUCAUCUUUUCCACUUGGCGGAAGCGUAUCUUGUAUAUGACAAAAAAUAAAUAAUUUAUAUACAUGCAAUAAAAUAUUUUUAUAAACUACAA